GUAAGGAAUAUUGGGCAAUGGACGCAAGUCUGACCCAGCCAUGCCGCGUGAAGGAUGAAUGUCCUAUGGAUUGUAAACUUCUUUUAUGCAGGAAAAAUAUCCCGGUCGUGAACCGGGACUGAUGGUACUGUAUGAAUAAGCAUCGGCUAACUCCGUGCCAGCAGCCGCGGUAAUACGGAGGAUGCAAGCGUUAUCCGGAUUCAUUGGGUUUAAAGGGUGCGCAGGCGGAAUGAUAAGUCAGUGGUGAAAUCUCCCGGCUCAACCGGGAAACUGCCAUUGAUACUGCCAUUCUUGAGUACAGUUGAAGUGGGCGGAAUGUGUCAUGUAGCGGUGAAAUGCUUAGAUAUGACACAGAACACCGAUAGCGAAGGCAGCUCACUAAGCUGUAACUGACGCUCAUGCACGAAAGCGUGGGGAUCAAACAGGAUUAGAAACCCUAGUAGUCC
This 446-nucleotide ribosomal RNA is filed under the name uncultured bacterium. Its description in RNAcentral is "bacterial SSU rRNA". It matches the Rfam family "Bacterial small subunit ribosomal RNA", at positions 354 to 796 of the family's 1533-position model. The record is from RNAcentral.